Molecule: unclassified non-coding RNA, 520 nt
Filed under: Hevea brasiliensis (rubber tree)
Lineage: Eukaryota; Viridiplantae; Streptophyta; Magnoliopsida; Malpighiales; Euphorbiaceae
Source: RNAcentral
GCUCAACCCUCUAAAAGUAUUUCAUCUUCAGAAUUGAUGGAGGAAGAUAAAGUCAAACCCAAAAAAGACAAAUAGCAAAUGGCUGGUGAUCCUCCUUUCCAACAAAUGGCAAUUUUAGCUGGGCCUCUAAUGAAUGAGACAGACUCCUCAUUAGCAACUGAUUUUGAAGAAGAAUUGGCGGAUAUCACAAACUUGCUGAUGGCAACUUCAACAGGCUCUAAUGAUGGGAUCACAGAACCUCAUGUAGAGCAACCAAUUGAUACUCUUGAUGGAGAAAAUCCAGAUAAAGCUCUUCCCAGUCCAACUUCUGGUCCUUGGUUCACUCUUGAUGAUAUUCCUCCAGCCAAAUGGAGAGAUAGAAUGACGGAAUUUCAUGCUUGGCUUGAUCUCCAAAUGUCUAAACUGGAUGCAGAAUUAUUGAAUGUCUUGAAAGAAUUCUCUUAUAGAUUCAUUGGAUCAUUAAGAGAAUGGUUCUACAGUCUUGGACAUUACAAGCGGCUCUUGUUUUACUAAGCAUUGA